UGGAUACCGUCAGGCACAAGGCAGUUACUCCUCAUACGUUUCUUCUCCACUGACAGGGUUUUACACACCAAGAUGCUUCAUCACCCACGCGGCGUUGCUGCGUCAGACUUUCGUCCAUUGCGCAAUAUUCCCU
This 133-nucleotide ribosomal RNA is filed under the name uncultured bacterium. Its description in RNAcentral is "partial 16S ribosomal RNA". The record is from RNAcentral.